Molecule: ribosomal RNA, 553 nt
Filed under: uncultured bacterium
Lineage: Bacteria
Description: partial 16S ribosomal RNA
Rfam family: Bacterial small subunit ribosomal RNA
Source: RNAcentral
UAGGGAAUCUUCCACAAUGGACGCAAGUCUGAUGGAGCAACGCCGCGUGAGUGAAGAAGGUUUUCGGACCGUAAAGCUCUGUUGUUGGUGAAGAAGGAUAGAGGUAGUAACUGGCCUUUAUUUGACGGUAAUCAACCAGAAAGUCACGGCUAACUACGUGCCAGCAGCCGCGGUAAUCGUAGGUGGCAAGCGUUGUCCGGAUUUAUUGGGCGUAAAGCGAGCGCAGGCGGAAGAAUAAGUCUGAUGUGAAAGCCCUCGGCUUAACCGAGGAAUCGCAUCGGAAACUGUUUUCUUGAGUGCAGAAGAGGAGAGUAGAACUCCAUGUGUAGCGGUGGAAUGCGUAGAUAUAUGGAAGAAUACCAGUGGCGAAGGCGGCUCUCUGGUCUGCAACUGACGCUGAGGCUCGAAAGCAUGGGUAGCGAACAGGAUUAGAUACCCUGGUAGUCCAUGCCGUAAACGAUGAGUGCUAAGUGUUGGGAGGCUUCCGCCUCUCAGUGCUGCAGCUAACGCAUUAAGCACUCCGCCUGGGGGAGUACGACCGCAAGGUUGAAAC